GAUGAAGAACGCAGCGAAAUGCGAUAAGUAAUGUGAAUUGCAGAAUUCAGUGAAUCAUCGAGUCUUUGAACGCACAUUGCGCCCCCUGGUAUUCCGGGGGGCAUGCCUGUCCGAGCGUCAUUGCUGCCCUCAAGCACGGCUUGUGUGUUGGGCCCCCGUCCCCGGUUUCCCCCGGGGACGGGCCCGAAAGGCAGCGGCGGCACCGCGUCCGGUCCUCGAGCGUAUGGGGCUUUGUCACCCGCUCUGUAGGCCCGGCCGGCGCCAGCCGACACCCAACUUUAUUUCUAAGGUUGACCUCGGAUCAGGUAGGGAUACCCGCUGAACUUAAGCAUAUCAAUAAGCGGGGA
This 347-nucleotide unclassified non-coding RNA is filed under the name soil metagenome. RNAcentral describes it as "partial contains 5.8S ribosomal RNA, internal transcribed spacer 2, and large subunit ribosomal RNA". The stretch from base 1 to 120 matches the Rfam family "5.8S ribosomal RNA", at positions 35 to 154 of the family's 154-position model. The record is from RNAcentral.